This 494-nucleotide ribosomal RNA is filed under the name uncultured bacterium. RNAcentral describes it as "bacterial SSU rRNA". It matches the Rfam family "Bacterial small subunit ribosomal RNA", at positions 30 to 515 of the family's 1533-position model. The record is from RNAcentral.
AUUGAACGCUGGCGGCAUGCCUUACACAUGCAAGUCGAACGGCAGCACGGGAGCAAUCCUGGUGGCGAGUGGCGAACGGGUGAGUAAUAUAUCGGAACGUGCCCAGUCGUGGGGGAUAACGUAGCGAAAGCUACGCUAAUACCGCAUACGAUCUAUGGAUGAAAGCGGGGGGUCGCAAGACCUCGCGCGAUUGGAGCGGCCGAUAUCAGAUUAGCUAGUUGGUGGGGUAAAAGCCCACCAAGGCGACGAUCUGUAGCUGGUCUGAGAGGACGACCAGCCACACUGGAACUGAGACACGGUCCAGACUCCUACGGGAGGCAGCAGUGGGGAAUUUUGGACAAUGGGCGCAAGCCUGAUCCAGCAAUGCCGCGUGCAGGAUGAAGGCCUUCGGUUGUAACUAGCUUUGUUACGGAACGAACGGUAGAGCUCUAAUAAUUAGUCUAAUGACGGUACCGUAACGAAUAAGACACCGGCGUAACUACGUAGCCAGCACG